AUCUCCUGGCAGCCGCCAUGACGCCGCCGAGCUCCUCCGAAACUCACGAUGGAUGGAAACCCCAGGCGUGACGUCACGGUAGGAAGCUAUGGACGAGUUUGUCCCUCAGAUUUGGUCCUCUCCUAUACGUCACACUGGGGUAUGAUGGUAAUACGUCUCGCAGUUGUUCAUCACUGGAUUUCCAGAUCCUUCUGCAAUUUUGACUCCUGAUUUUUAAAAUCCGGAUGUAGUCCAAAGGUGAA
Long non-coding RNA from Bufo gargarizans (Asiatic toad), 242 nucleotides. RefSeq lists it as uncharacterized. The record is from RefSeq and is a predicted model, not a curated record. NCBI's taxonomy places the organism in Eukaryota, Metazoa, Chordata, Amphibia, Anura, Bufonidae. The transcript has 3 exons.